AACGAACGCUGGCGGCAUGGAUUAGGCAUGCAAGUCGAACGAGAUCUGAGAUGUUCAAGUAGCAAUAUGAGAAUAUUUCAGUGAGAGUGGCGAAAGGGUGAGGAACACGUGAGUUACCUGCCCCUAAGCUCGGAAUAACCUUCCGAAAGGAGGGCUAAUGCCGAAUGUGGAUAAAGUUUAUAAAGAGUUUUUAUCUAAAGAUUUAUCACUUAGGGAUGGACUCGCGUCCUAUUAGCUAGUUGGUGAGGUAACGGCUCACCAAGGCGAUGAUGGGUAGCUGGUCUGAGAGGAUGGUCAGCCACACUGGGACUGAGACACUGCCCAGACUCCUACGGGAGGCAG
This 342-nucleotide ribosomal RNA is filed under the name uncultured Lentisphaerota bacterium. RNAcentral describes it as "bacterial SSU rRNA". It matches the Rfam family "Bacterial small subunit ribosomal RNA", at positions 29 to 351 of the family's 1533-position model. Lineage: Bacteria; Pseudomonadati; Lentisphaerota. The record is from RNAcentral.